ACCUACGGGGGGCAGCAGUGAGGAAUAUUGGUCAAUUGUCGGGAGACUGAACCAGCCAAGCCGCGUGAGGGAUGAAGGUACAGAGUAUCGUAAACCUCUUUUGUCAGGGAACAAAGGCGGGGACGCGUCCCCGGAUGAGUGUACCUGAAGAAAAAGCAUCGGCUAACUCCGUGCCAGCAGCCGCGGUAAUACGGAGGAUGCGAGCGUUAUCCGGAUUUAUUGGGUUUAAAGGGUGCGCAGGCGGGCUGUUAAGUCAGCGGUCAAAGCCCGGGGCUCAACCCCGGCCCGCCGGUGAAACUGGCAGG
Molecule: ribosomal RNA, 305 nt
Filed under: uncultured bacterium
Lineage: Bacteria
Description: bacterial SSU rRNA
Rfam family: Bacterial small subunit ribosomal RNA
Source: RNAcentral